ACACUCCUACGGGAGGCAGCAGUGGGGAAUAUUGGACAAUGGGCGCAAGCCUGAUCCAGCCAUGCCGCGUGAGUGAUGAAGGCCCUAGGGUUGUAAAGCUCUUUCACCGGUGAAGAUAAUGACGGUAACCGGAGAAGAAGCCCCGGCUAACUUCGUGCCAGCAGCCGCGGUAAUACGAAGGGGGCUAGCGUUGUUCGGAUUUACUGGGCGUAAAGCGCACGUAGGCGGACUAUUAAGUCAGGGGUGAAAUCCCGGGGCUCAACCCCGGAACUGCCUUUGAUACUGGUAGUCUUGAGUUCGAGAGAGGUGAGUGGAAUUCCGAGUGUAGAGGUGAAAUUCGUAGAUAUUCGGAGGAACACCUGUGGCGAAGGCGGCUCACUGGCUCGAUACUGACGCUGAGGUGCGAAAGCGUGGGGAGCAAACAGGAUUAGAUACCCCUGUAGUCCCAUGA
Molecule: ribosomal RNA, 451 nt
Filed under: uncultured organism
Description: partial 16S ribosomal RNA
Rfam family: Bacterial small subunit ribosomal RNA
Source: RNAcentral